Molecule: long non-coding RNA, 290 nt
Filed under: Salvia miltiorrhiza (redroot sage)
Lineage: Eukaryota; Viridiplantae; Streptophyta; Magnoliopsida; Lamiales; Lamiaceae
Description: long non-coding RNA (SMIL_LNC013707)
Source: RNAcentral
GAAGGCGGCAGCUGAGAUUUGGAGAAGAAGGGGUGAGCGGCGGCUCGCUGGCGGCAGCGGGGGGUGGGGGUGACAAUAUUGUUUUUCCUUUUUUUAAUUUUAAUUUUUUUAAUUGAAAAAAGCUUCACAAAACGACGUCGUUUUGUAUGAUCGCCGGUAUGUCCACGUCUGCAAAUUCCGGGAGACACGUCAUCUAAGAUUUAAGGGAUGGUCAACGCAUGUGCAAAUUACAACAAAAUUAAAAGGUGGUGUAUUCUGAGGCCAUUUUUGAAGGUCAUGUGCAAUUUGCA